Mus caroli (Ryukyu mouse) is the source of this 137-nucleotide small nucleolar RNA. RefSeq annotates it as small nucleolar RNA SNORA51. Lineage: Eukaryota; Metazoa; Chordata; Mammalia; Rodentia; Muridae. The record is from RefSeq and is a predicted model, not a curated record.
UUCUUCAUGCAUGUUAUGUUUGUUAUAUUUUUUUAAUGAAAUUGCUUAGUUUGAAGAGGAGGAAGAAUAAACAUUCCCUAUGUACACCUCAGCCUACGCCACUGUGCCUGGUCUGUAUUGUGAAUGGGGAGACAUGG